Molecule: long non-coding RNA, 2590 nt
Organism: Drosophila innubila
Lineage: Eukaryota; Metazoa; Arthropoda; Insecta; Diptera; Drosophilidae
Exons: 2
Source: RefSeq, a predicted model, not a curated record
GUAAGUAGAGAGUCUUGUUGCUGUGCGUUCAAAUUGCAAUCUGUGUAGCAGAAAACAUUUCGUGGAAACGGCCGAAACAAGUCAAGUCGGUGGUGUGUGCGAGAAAAUAGCACGCCGUGUUCGUAUUCGAGAGACAAACCAACUGAACGGAACUGAACUGACUGCCAGAAACUAUGGUUCGUUAUUUGAGAUACAGAGCACAGAGCAAAAGCAAGCAGUAAUAGUUCGAUCCACAAAAAUUGAGUUAUUGUAAUUUGUCAUCGAAGCUCGAAACUUUCAAUGUGCUAUCUAAGCCAAAACAAAAUAAGGCAAAGUGCAAAAAUGGCUCAUAAAUUCAAAUAUGUAAAGCUUACGUAAGUGCAAAAGGCACAACAGUUGUACACGUGUGACAGAGUCAGCAUGACUGUUUCAAGCAAUGAUAACAGGGUGUUUCGGUGUCUGCUCAUGAUGAGCAUAUUAAUAUGACGACAAUAACGUGUCCGAUUGAGCAUUGCCACCCUGUACAAGAGAGAGAGCGAGCACACACACACUCAUAUGUAUGUACAUUUACAAAGAUACAGGCAACACUCACGAGUUCAAGCCACAGAGAUAUUGCAGUACAUAAUGAAAUCGACUGAACUGAAAAUCAGAAACCAAACAGACGAGUAGCUGGCUACAACACUGCCACGGUUACACUUUGUAGCAGCGACAGUGGCGGCGGCGGAGCGGCACACACCUUGCCUCACCUCACCUUACACUUGACUCACGCAUACACACAUAUGCACAUCUAUAUACAUAUACAUAGGUAUAUUCUUUGCAAGUGGUGGUGAAAUUGUAGUUUUUGCUGCUGCUGCUGUCAAAAAGGAAACGAGAAGACGCACAAAAAGACAGAGACACUACACACACCACAGCGGGCAUAGAAAGCAGCCAGACAAUUUGAGCGCAAGGUAAAAUAAAAAGAAACCAAGAACAACAACAAUGUGGAUGCAAGUUGCGGCGAUGCCAACGCCAUCUCACCAUGGCAAUGGCGGAGACGUACAUACAUACAUGUGUACGUAUGCAUGUUUGUAUGUAGAUGGCAUACCAUACAUAUGAGACAUAUGUACACGCAUAGAUCCAGAGCGCAUUGGUCGGCCUUUCGGCUCUCUGCAUUGGUCAAACACAUGUUGGAAUUUGAUCGGUCGCGAGAAAGAGCAACUAAACGUUGAAUGCGGGGGAGGGGGGUUGCCUGCAGCAGCAGAGGAGCGAGCGUCAAUAAAAAAUCUGUAUACUUGCGAAUUGAGCGCUCAUGGUGGUGAAAAUGGAAACCUUGCAAUUAUCGAUUUCUUUUUCGUGCGCUCACUGCAUUGCGCAGCGGAGGCGGAGAGCGACAACAGCAAUGGGAACGAGAACAUAGAAGGAGAGGCAAACUGUAAAAACAAAGAGAGAGAGAGUGGACUAUCACCUGCCUGUAGCAGCAGCAGAACAACAACUCAACAACUCAACUGCAUUAACCGAUAACUAUUGAUAAUAAUGGCAAAUCGAGUGAACCUAACUUAGUUGCAGAUACAACAACAACAUAUGACUGCUGACGGCUGAGUAAAGUUCAAAGUUCACGAGUAGGCGCCUGUGCAGUGUGCAGAUGCAUAGCAUACCCCCACUAGAAACUAAAACAAGUGCAAAAGGGACAACCACACUUAUGUCAAUAGUGAGGCUGUCUGUGUGUGUGCGAGUGCGUGUGUUGCAAUCUUGCCAAAUGCUGCACAGUGCUUGCAUGUUGUUGCUGUACGGACGGACACAAGUUUGUUUGCCUUUUCCAAGGAACUCUUGAUGAUGGUUUGACGUAUGUAUAUACCUCUUGCCACCCACACCAGACCUCAGCACACUUCGCGACGCCACGCCAUUUGCUGUUGCGCAACAAUAAACAAAGAUAUAUAAAUAUAUACAUAUAUCAAAUAUGCAUGCAUAUAUAUUACAUGCAUGUAAACAUGAGCAGUCCAACAACAACAACAACAACAACAGCAGCAGCUGCACCAGAAUCGUCAAUGUAACACCAACAACAACUGAUAAAUUAAAUACACUUAAUGCUCUGGGUUGCAUUUUAAAGCAAUUUUUGUUAAUUUGUAUGUACUCAUUUAUGUGAUAUCUCAGACAAUAGCUUAAAAUUACGUGCAAAGUCAGCUGAAAAUCGGAAUCAAAAGUGAAUCGAGUGUACAUAUCUAUACACCUUUAUAGACACGAUUCUACAGUGCUUAAUACCAAAGUUUAGACAUAUUUACAUGUAGAUAGAAGUCGAAUAAUAUUUCUGUACACCUUUUUUGAAAUUUCUACAUAUCAGAAGUGUUUUUUUUUUUUGUUUUUUUUAAGAAAAUUUCAAAAGAACUUCACAGAUAGAUCUUAAGCCGGGUUCAAGAUUUGCUUAUUAGCCCUUGAAAAAACAAACGAAAAACUUUGUAGCAAGGCGUUACUUACACAAACCCAAAGAAUCUCCAGAAACAAUCUCUAUUUACAUAAAAGGCGACACAAAAACAAAUGCAAAAGCGACGACAACGCGCCAAUCUUAGAUGAAAAAGAAAACAAAAGGACGUACGAAGACCAAAUACCCUUUAAAGCUAGCGAUCAGUUGGUAAAA